This 468-nucleotide ribosomal RNA is filed under the name uncultured bacterium. Its description in RNAcentral is "partial 16S ribosomal RNA". It matches the Rfam family "Bacterial small subunit ribosomal RNA", at positions 28 to 507 of the family's 1533-position model. The record is from RNAcentral.
GACGAACGCUGGCGGCGUGCUUAACACAUGCAAGUCGAACGGAAAGGCCCUGCUUUUGUGGGGUGCUCGAGUGGCGAACGGGUGAGUAACACGUGAGUAACCUGCCCUUGACUUUGGGAUAACUUCAGGAAACUGGGGCUAAUACCGGAUAGGAUCUCCUGCUGCAUGGUGGGGGUUGGAAAGUUUCGGCGGUUGGGGAUGGACUCGCGGCUUAUCAGCUUGUUGGUGGGGUAGUGGCUUACCAAGGCUUUGACGGGUAGCCGGCAUGAGAGGGUGACCGGCAACAAUGGGACUGAGAUACGGAGCAGAAUGCAACGGGAGGCAGCAGGGGGGAAUAUUGCAAAAUGGGAGGAAGGCUGAGGCAGCAACGCCGCGUGCGGGAUGAAGGGCGUCGGGUUGUAAACCGAUGUCGCCUGUGACGAAGAGUGAGUGACGGUAAUGGGUAAAGAAGCACCGGCUAACUACGUG